Molecule: long non-coding RNA, 801 nt
Organism: Populus euphratica (Euphrates poplar)
Lineage: Eukaryota; Viridiplantae; Streptophyta; Magnoliopsida; Malpighiales; Salicaceae
Exons: 2
Source: RefSeq, a predicted model, not a curated record
UGUCUUCCAGGGAGGAAGAGCGUCAUAACUUACUAGAGAAGAGGGCAGGGGAGGUGAACCUUGGGAAACACACGGCCUUCCUUUUCCAAAACCAGCGACUUGCAAUGUCAGCAAAACCCCACUUGUCCUGGUAAAUUCACUGUACUUCUGGUGGCGUUACAAAUACAGCGCAAGCAGCCAAAAAACCUUCACAAAGUUUCAUGCUUUCUCCCAAAACAGGCACACUUCCCCAUCUCUUCCAUCCCCCCUCCUGAAUUGAGGAGGAAGAGAUCUCUAUCCUUCCUGCCAUCUUUCUUAGCAAUAAGACAACGUGCACCGUUAAAGAAAGGAGGAGAGUGUGAGACGCAAAAGGUGUUUGAUUGUGCUCUCUAUCUCUCUCUCGCUCUCUGUCUUGCUGUCUUGCUUGGAAAUCCUCUCAUUACUCUUCCCACCAACACUUCCACCGCCACCGUCAGAAGCCACGGCAUCGCAGUUGGGUUAAUGGGGACGACGUUGCUUGGUACGAAUUUCAAGGCAGCUGAUCAGUUCUCCAGUAGCCGGCAGACAGACAAGCUGUUCAUGCAUGUAGAGAAGAGAGCUUAAAUGAGUUUUUGUCAGAUAGGUUCUGUAGAUUGGUUGAAUCUGGUACACACAUCUCUAGCAAUCAAAGCACCAGCUAUCCACAUUUAGAUCCAAGAGGCGUUAGAGGUUUUUGGGAUGUUUGAUUUGUGAGUUAUCUUCAAGGACCUGCAGGACGUUGGUGACUUCACAAGUGACAAGCUUGGCUGAUUCACAGAGUUGUUGCUCAUUGGUAGACUCAGC